CUUGAAGAAGAACCACGGAGAAGCACUGCUUGCUGUCUUCCUUACUUGCUGCUCACAGCCCCAGGCUUAGGCACUAUUCCUACACAGCUGUGACACACCUGACCAGGGAUGGUGCCAUAGUCCCACUCAUAGUUGGAUAGGCCAUCACACAUCGAUUAGUAAUCUAAACAAUCCCCACAGACAUGACCACAGACCAGUCUCAUCUAGGAAAUCCUUCAGUUGAAGCUUCUGCUUUCAAAUGAUGCUAGACUGUAUCAACAUAACAAGCAUCUGGACACUCUGGAAGAGUGUUACAAAUAAAAAAGAAAAAAAUUGAACCAUGUAACAGUAGAAGAAAAUUUAUUGUAUUUUCCUAUAUGUCCUCAUCCCCCAUACAUCCUCAUACAUAUGAAGAGGUUGAUCUGGCAAUGGGGUACACACUACACUGUGGUCUAUGCUGACUGCCAGGGACAAAAAAGUGGGUAGAAUUUAUAUUAACCUCCAAAUCCAGUGAGGUUAGAUAUAAAUUAGUGCUUUUAACUAAUUUCUUUAAAAGCUGUUUAGGGAAAUGAACACAAAAAGAUGAACAGUAUGGUUGGCUUAGAAUAUGAGGAUUCUUGGUAGGUUUCAGUUUUUUUGGUUGCUUCUGUUCUAUAACACAAUGAAUAAUGAUUACUCUGCUACACAACUGAGGAUUCAUCUGUUAUCCAUAUCCACACAGAGCCAUUUCAAGUGGAGAGAAACUGGCCACUAGAUCUCUACUUGAUGUACCUCAAGUAGAGAAGGAUUCUUUGUGUUCCAGUGACUGACACACAAGCAACACUUUGUUUAGCAAGUCAACCUGAAACCAGAAGUGUCUUUGAAAGUUCACUGGUCUGUGAAUAACGGUGCUACUCACAAUCGCAGUGAGUGCAGCGCAUGUGAGGAACCUGCAGGUAAUGGGCUGUUGUCGACUCAGCAACAGAAGCACUGUGAACCACAAAUGCGACUCUAAAUAAUCCAGGAGACGUAUUUAAAAUUGCAAAUUAAAAAAGUGAAUUUCAAUAGUAAAAUGUUCAAUCCAAGGCAGUGAUUAACACAGAGACUUACAACUGCUAAAGAUGCAGAUAAACAGAGCCAGUUUCUUGAUCAGCAUUAAAGGGGACAUCUAUAUCAUGCAUCCUCUCUCCAAGGAUCAAGAAUUAUUGUUGAAGAGGCACUGGAAAAAUGCCCCCAAAGGUAUUGAACUCACUAUGUAGCUGAAGGAGUAAGAUGACCACAAACUCACAUGCUGGGAUUAUGACAUUACAGGAGAUAAUUACCAACAGACAAUAACUAAAACCUGCAUGACGGCAAGAAGGAAACCUGCAGAGAGGUGGCCAGCAGUGGGAAUCCUGAAGGAGCAGCGGUGAAUCCAAUAGGAUUACUCUG
Peromyscus maniculatus bairdii (prairie deer mouse) is the source of this 1389-nucleotide non-coding RNA. The record is from RefSeq and is a predicted model, not a curated record. NCBI's taxonomy places the organism in Eukaryota, Metazoa, Chordata, Mammalia, Rodentia, Cricetidae.